RNAcentral lists this ribosomal RNA (448 nucleotides) under uncultured bacterium. Its description in RNAcentral is "bacterial SSU rRNA". It matches the Rfam family "Bacterial small subunit ribosomal RNA", at positions 328 to 793 of the family's 1533-position model. The record is from RNAcentral.
CGGCCAGACUCCUACGGGAGGCAGCAGUAGGGAAUUUUGCGCAAUGGGCGAAAGCCUGACGCAGCAACGCCGCGUGAUCGAGACGCCCUUCGGGGUGUAAAGAUCUGUCAGUGGGGACGAAACUUGACGGUACCCACAGAGGAAGCCCCGGCUAACUACGUGCCAGCAGCCGCGGUAAUACGUAGGGGGCAAGCGUUAUCCGGAUUUACUGGGUGUAAAGGGAGCGUAGACGGCGACGCAAGUCUGAAGUGAAAUGCCAGUGCUCAACACUGGAACUGCUUUGGAAACUGUGUAGCUAGAGUGCAGGAGAGGUAAGUGGAAUUCCUAGUGUAGCGGUGAAAUGCGUAGAUAUUAGGAGGAACACCAGUGGCGAAGGCGGCUUACUGGACUGUAACUGACGUUGAGGCUCGAAGGCGUGGGGAGCAAACAGGAUUAGAUACCCCCGUAC